Molecule: ribosomal RNA, 253 nt
Filed under: uncultured bacterium
Lineage: Bacteria
Description: partial 16S ribosomal RNA
Rfam family: Bacterial small subunit ribosomal RNA
Source: RNAcentral
UACGUAGGGGGCUAGCGUUGUCCGGAAUCAUUGGGCGUAAAGCGCACGUAGGCGGCUUUCUAAGUCAGGGGUGAAAUCCUGGAGCUCAACUCCAGAACUGCCUUUGAUACUGGAGAGCUCGAGUCCGGAAGAGGUGAGUGGAACUCCGAGUGUAGAGGUGAAAUUCGUAGAUAUUCGGAAGAACACCAGUGGCGAAGGCGGCUCACUGGUCCGGUACUGACGCUGAUGUGCGAAAGCGUGGGGAGCAAACAGG